CCUACGGGAGACAGCAGUGGGGAAUAUUGCACAAUGGGGGAAACCCUGAUGCAGCGACGCCGCGUGAGUGAAGAAGUAUUUCGGUAUGUAAAGCUCUAUCAGCAGGGAAGAAAAUGACGGUACCUGAUUAAGAAGCCCCGGCUAACUACGUGCCAGCAGCCGCGGUAAUACGUCGGGUGCAAGCGUUAUCAGGAUUUACUGGGUGUAAAGGGAGCGUAGACGGCAGCACAAGUCUGGAGUGAAAUGCCUGGGCUUAACCCCGGAACUGCUUUGGAAACUGUGCAGCUAGAGUGCAGGAGAGGUAAGUGGAAUGCCUAGUGUAGCGGUGAAAUGCGUAGAUAUUAGGAGGAACACCAGUGGCGAAGGCGGCUUACUGGACUGUAACUGACGUUGAGGCUCGAAAGCGUGGGGAGCAAACAGGAUUAGAUACCCGAGUAGUC
Molecule: ribosomal RNA, 440 nt
Filed under: uncultured bacterium
Lineage: Bacteria
Description: partial 16S ribosomal RNA
Rfam family: Bacterial small subunit ribosomal RNA
Source: RNAcentral